GCCAGUGUCCCGGGCCCUCCGCUCCCGGCCCGCGCCGAGCCCCUCGCACAAACCGGACCUGAACGUUUUGUUCGUUCGGCUCGCGUGAGGCGGAGGCGGCCU
MicroRNA precursor from Vombatus ursinus (common wombat), 102 nucleotides. The record is from Ensembl. NCBI's taxonomy places the organism in Eukaryota, Metazoa, Chordata, Mammalia, Diprotodontia, Vombatidae.